UACGAAGGGGGCUAGCGUUGCUCGGAAUCACUGGGCGUAAAGCGCACGUAGGCGGAUUGUUAAGUCAGGGGUGAAAUCCUGGAGCUCAACUCCAGAACUGCCUUUGAUACUGGCGAUCUCGAGUCCGGGAGAGGUGAGUGGAACUGCGAGUGUAGAGGUGAAAUUCGUAGAUAUUCGCAAGAACACCGGUGGCGAAGGCGGCUCACUGGUCCGGUACUGACGCUGAGGUGCGAAAGCGUGGGGAGCAAACAGG
This 253-nucleotide ribosomal RNA is filed under the name uncultured bacterium. RNAcentral's name for it is "partial 16S ribosomal RNA". It matches the Rfam family "Bacterial small subunit ribosomal RNA", at positions 524 to 776 of the family's 1533-position model. The record is from RNAcentral.